RNAcentral lists this ribosomal RNA (497 nucleotides) under uncultured bacterium. RNAcentral describes it as "partial 16S ribosomal RNA". It matches the Rfam family "Bacterial small subunit ribosomal RNA", at positions 28 to 507 of the family's 1533-position model. The record is from RNAcentral.
GAUGAACGCUGGCGGCGUGCCUAAUACAUGCAAGUCGAGCGAACGGACGAGAAGCUUGCUUCUCUGAUGUUAGCGGCGGACGGGUGAGUAACGCGUGGAUAACCUACCUAUAAGACUGGGAUAACUUCGGGAAACCGGAGCUAAUACCGGAUAAUAUUUUGAACCGCAUGGUUCAAAAGUGAAAGACGGUCUUGCUGUCACUUAUAGAUGGAUCCGCGCUGCAUUAGCUAGUUGGUAAGGUAACGGCUUACCAAGGCAACGAUGCAUAGCCGACCGGAGAGGGGAGUGGGCACCACGGGACUGGGACCAGGAUACGGACUCGACGGGGAGGAGGGAGAGGGGAUUCUGCCGUAGGGGGAGGAGGCGAGAAGGGGCACAGCGGGGGGGUGGACAGGGGGAUGGGGAUAUAAAAUCUAUAUUAUGGGGGAAAAACAAAUGUAAAAGAAACGGGGAGUUUCUGGACGGUACCUAACAAAAAAGCCACGGCUAACUCCGUG